UCCUACGGGAGGCAGCAGUGGGGAAUUUUGGACAAUGGGCGCAAGCCUGAUCCAGCCAUGCCGCGUGCAGGAUGAAGGCCUUCGGGUUGUAAACUGCUUUUGUACGGAACGAAAAGACUCUGUUUAAUACAUGGGGUCCAUGACGGUACCGUAAGAAUAAGCACCGGCUAACUACGUGCCAGCAGCCGCGGUAAUACGUAGGGUGCGAGCGUUAAUCGGAAUUACUGGGCGUAAAGCGUGCGCAGGCGGUUAUAUAAGACAGAUGUGAAAUCCCCGGGCUCAACCUGGGAACUGCAUUUGUGACUGUAUAGCUAGAGUACGGCAGAGGGGGAUGGAAUUCCGCGUGUAGCAGUGAAAUGCGUAGAUAUGCGGAGGAACACCGAUGGCGAAGGCAAUCCCCUGGGCCUGUACUGACGCUCAUGCACGAAAGCGUGGGGAGCAAACAGGAUUAGAUACCCUGGUAGUCCACGCCCUAAACGAUGUCAACUGGUUGUUGGGUAUUCACUGA
RNAcentral lists this ribosomal RNA (508 nucleotides) under uncultured beta proteobacterium. RNAcentral's name for it is "bacterial SSU rRNA". It matches the Rfam family "Bacterial small subunit ribosomal RNA", at positions 337 to 836 of the family's 1533-position model. Lineage: Bacteria; Pseudomonadati; Pseudomonadota; Betaproteobacteria. The record is from RNAcentral.